AAUAGAUACCCCGGUAGUCCACGCCGUAAACGAUGAGUGCUAAGUGUUAGGGGGUUUCCGCCCCUUAGUGCUGCAGCUAACGCAUUAAGCACUCCGCCUGGGGAGUACGGUCGCAAGACUGAAACUCAAAGGAAUUGACGGGGGCCCGCACAAGCGGUGGAGCAUGUGGUUUAAUUCGAAGCAACGCGAAGAACCUUACCAGGUCUUGACAUCCCGCUGACCGCUAUGGAGACAUAGCUUUCCCUUCGGGGACAGCGGUGACAGGUGGUGCAUGGUUGUCGUCAGCUCGUGUCGUGAGAUGUUGGGUUAAGUCCCGCAACGAGCGCAACCCUUGUCCUUAGUUGCCAUCAUUCAGUUGGGCACUCUAAGGAGACUGCCGUACAAAUACGGGAGGAAGGUGGGGAUGACGUCAAAUCAUCAUGCCCCUUAUGACCUGGGCUACACACGUGCUACAAUGGACGGUACAAACGGUUGCGAAGUCGCGAGACGGAGCCAAUCCGAGAAAGCCGUUCUCAGUUCGGAUUGCAGG
This 529-nucleotide ribosomal RNA is filed under the name uncultured bacterium. RNAcentral describes it as "bacterial SSU rRNA". It matches the Rfam family "Bacterial small subunit ribosomal RNA", at positions 777 to 1304 of the family's 1533-position model. The record is from RNAcentral.